CGGCGCCACCGCGCGCCUUCCUCAGCCGCUGUUAACCCCGGGGUCUAGAGAAGCACUGAGAGGACUCCUCAGCCUGGCGCUGUGCACAAUUAAAAUAGCAGAGUUCCCAUCUCCAAGGAAUUUGCAACCAUAGACAGCACAGUGAAGACAGGUGUUAACUUGAAGGCAGCGCACAAACGGGAGGCAAUUGAAGUUGUCACCUACUGUACAACACAGUGGCCCUUGUAUGAAGAUCCAAGACACAUAUGGAAAUUAAAGAUUUAAUUAUCACUCCUUUGGAGGAUUUGUUGGCCAUCAGCAACUUGGGCUUAACUUGGGUCCAAUUUUAUAAUUUUAGUAAAUUAUAAUAAUAUUUAUGAUAUCUAUAA
This 368-nucleotide long non-coding RNA is filed under the name Homo sapiens (human). RNAcentral describes it as "HSALNT0356715". Lineage: Eukaryota; Metazoa; Chordata; Mammalia; Primates; Hominidae. The record is from RNAcentral.